This is a long non-coding RNA of Phyllopteryx taeniolatus (common seadragon), 7214 nucleotides long. RefSeq lists it as uncharacterized. The transcript is spliced from 2 exons. The record is from RefSeq and is a predicted model, not a curated record. NCBI's taxonomy places the organism in Eukaryota, Metazoa, Chordata, Actinopteri, Syngnathiformes, Syngnathidae.
AAUUGCCGGUCAAGGGGCGGCUCAAAUGGCAGAACAAUUGUAGAGGGGAAAGAAAACUCCGCACGAGCCCCCAUUCAAAAAGGUGGGUAAAUAUACAAAAAUUGUCUUUAAAAAGAAACUUUUUUUUUGAGGUUUGACAGAAACGGCUGCCCGGACUGGCUGCGGUUGGUGUCAUUUGGAUCCAGGGGCUGAAAAAGUUGACGGACAACAUGAGCCUGGCGUGUGGUGACAGAUGUUUGCUGUGCGACAUGUUCCCGUCCUCUUGCCCAACGGUGCCGAAGCUUCCGGACUUCAAACCUCUCAUGGAUCCCAGUUCUCACUUCGAACAUUGCAUCAGUAUUUGGACAGAUAAGACCGGUGUCAUGUGUGUGUGUUCCGGAUUUUGUCCUCACACACCUGCUCCUGUGAGCAUCUUCACCACCUGUGCCUCGUUCAACCUAAUUAGCCCUCGUAUUUAACCUCGUGUCUCAUUCCCUCUCGUUGCCAGUUCGUUGUACCUUGUCGUCGCGUUCCAGCAUUCCUUGUUUCCACGUCACAGACUCACAGUAAGACUUGACCCUGUUCCGAUUAUCAACCUUGCCUCUUUGCCUCAUGUUUUUGGAUACUGUUGCCUUUCUUGGAUUGACCUACGCCCGUAUAUUAAACCUCUCUUUUUGGAAACUGUCCGUUUGUUUUGGAGUCGUGCAUUUUUGGGUCCUAUCCUCUGUUCCGUUCAUGACAACCGGGUCACAUCCCUCCCGUUUAAGGGAGGCAAAUGUUAUUUCUAGAAUAGCUUUACUUGACACCUUGCCGGUUGAAGUGAGGACUGAACUUUUAAAGACCCUGACCUCAUGAAAGGGGGAGAUAGCUUCUUUAAUUGUCAUGUGGCACACCAUUUGAAACUUUUUGUCGACAGAAAACACAAAUCAUCAGAUGAGGUAAAGGACAUGCAGGAGCAACUUUUGAAGCUACAAUUGGCCCAGGCCUGUAAAGUGGCCAUUAAAAAUAAAUCAAUCAAUACAAAUGGAAGCAGAAAAACAGAUCGAUCCCCUCCAUCCCACACUGUUUUAUGACGAUUUGGUUUCUAGGGAAGCUUUUGAGUCAAUACAGGAGGAAAACUGGAUGCUCAAUAGUAAAGGUAUUUACAUAGGGAAGCAAGGUGUGGCAGCUGCCUCCACCUUGGCGCCAGAGCAGAGUGAGUGGUUUAUGAUGAGUUUGACAUCUUUUCCACUUGCACUUGCACAAGGUCAUGAAGCCUGAGAACUGGGACCCAUGGUGAGAAAAUGCCAUUUGGCAAAUGAUUGGCAACAAGAUCAAAUACCCAAUGUGUUGUACUCUCCUCGUACUGAAUGUUUUUGUAUUCAAGGUACCAUGGUGGACGGAGGGGUGAUGGAGCAUGUGACUUUGGCGCGAUUCCAUGGCAGAGAGCUCUCGGACCAUGAGGACGCCGCACAGCUGUUGAGCUCGCUGCCGGACUCACUGUGGUCUGAGGGGUCUGUGUACAUCCGUGCAUCCGGUAACAUUCGAGGUAGACCCGACUGCUUUUGUUGACGUGCCGUAGUAUCCUUGUAAACAAGAGGCCAUAGAAGAUAUCGCGGAAACCCAAAUUCUGAAAUCCCCACGCUUUGGUCCAUAAAUGAUGUUAUGAAACUGCGGAACUGCUGGCCAUGUGCAGGGCACUAGAGUUUUCUGAAGGUCAGAGUGUUACUAUUUAUUCAUGGUGCUGAUGCUGCAGCAGAAAAAAGUAGCAGGCUAAUAAAUGGAUAGAUGCUUAGAGAGCAUUUGAAGUGAUGGAAGAUUGUGAGAAGCAUAUUAACGCGUACGAUGGCUUUAAACUUGUUUAUGCCUAGAAGAGGAGUCAUGAAAAAUGUGUUAACUUGUGCGUCAGAGGGAAUCAUUUUGGGUUGUUUACGGAAUGGCACACAAGGAAGUGGCAGGAUGGUUGUAAUUGUGAAUAUUCAGGGACGCUGUGAUUUUUGUAAGUGGAUAUACAUCGAAGUUCCUGUUUGGGGCAAACAGAAUUAAGAAAAUGAUGCAAGGGACACCAGUCAACUCAAGACAUCCUUACAAUAUUUAGUUGAUACAGUAUAGUGACUAUGAAUGCAGCAUAGCGAAUGCCACUCUUUUCAUUCACAGAAGUGAAGGAUGGGCCAUAGAGGGGUCAAGGUUGAGUUGCUACUUAUGGUACAUACGAUAUGAGACUGUGCGUCAUUUGCAUCGUGUGCCAGGGAAAUGAUGAGGAGCACAUGUCUUUGAGAAUGACGACGUGAUUUGGUAUGAGGAUUCAUCUGUUUGAUUGUCUCCCCAGAUUCAGCACUAGAGCAGGGAAGACCAAGAGGAUUUUUCCAUCUGUCUGGCAAGCCAAUUUGGAGGAGGGUUAUUUAGUUGCAUUCUGUCUCCUAAAUCAGGUCGAUUACAACACUUUGUGGACAAGCGGAGAGCUACUUUUUGAGCGAAAGGGACACAUUUAUCAGGGAUAGUAUUCUUAGAUUUCUAAAAACAAGAUAACAUUGUUGCCCCAGUGAUUGGGGACUGGUUCCUUUUGGCGGUUGGGGAGGCUUGGUCAAGGUGUUGAUCAUGUGAGACAUAAAGUAAUGAAUGAUACACAAAAGGGGUCAUCGGGAAGCACCAUAUAUAGAUUAAUUAAUACGAGUUAAGGUUGAUUGAGGAAAUAGCAGACAGGAUAAUCUGGGAAGUCCUGCGGUGCCCUGAGCCCUAAAAUAGCCGGGAACUUGCACUAAAAUGUUAAAUGACGGCGGAAAGCUGGAAAGACAAAGAGCAGCUGAAUGGUCCUGCGUCUCCACGUUUGCCAAGCGGAUUGGAACAAUAUGAUGAAAAGUCCGUUUCAGUGGGGGACAAAGUGGACACAUCUCGAAGCCAUCAAGGAUGCCGUGUGGCGGAGGUCGGAGUCGGUCGGUGAUCAGUGGCUCGGCGGAAGAUGGUGGGGACACACUUGAGGUCAUUUGGUAAUUGGUAUUAAGCAGGUCACCUGCCCUUGAACAGCAACAAAUGGGAAAGGCUAGGCAGGGCAGAUAUUUAGGAGUUUUCAGUACAAGGAGGGUUACAUUUUACUCAGAGUCAGAAAUCUCCCGAGUCAGUGGGGUGGGCAGAGGCACUCGAUAGGAUUGUGGGAGAAAUUAUGGCUCGAAAUAUUUUUGCCGUUAUGGGAGUAUGAGGUCAUGCAGUCCUCCGAUAGAAUUCCACUUCAAAAUGUAUAUUCAACGUCGGUAGGGGUUGAAAGAGAGAGGUCAGAAAGGAGCAGCCCUCCAACUUGAUUGGUUAAUGAGUCUGUUAGUAGUUUGUUAGCAAAUGCCUCACUAAGCCUCCUACGCUGCACAUGGAAAUAUCGAUGGGCCAAGACCAUCUACUGUAUUGGGGCCCUAGGGGGUAAUAUACAAAGGGGGGCAUUGAUCGAUGAAUUAAUCUGGUCUGACGUGGAAGAGGGUGACUUGAUUUGCGGAUUUGUCAGAUGUAAUAUUGGAAAUUGGGCAAAAGGCAAUGAAGGAUUCCUGAAGACUGGUAGAGGAAUCUUGGGAAAAUUAUGCGCGGUGACGUGGGUGUAAAGACCGACAUACGAGCAAGCCGUUUCUGCUACACUCGGGGAGUAAUCAUCGGAAAUCAGUCGGUACCAGAGCUAUUUUUAAUUCGUCAAUCAAGCAGGAAUAUCGCGGUACUGAGGAGGAAAACCACGGGUAGUGAUUAUAAUAGUGAGUUCAAACCGAUUAACUUUCAAAUACUAGUUACGUGAUGGCAACCAAUAUAUAUUCUGUGCUCAAUGUUUAGGUUUUGUGUUCAAUGUUUGUGUCGUGUUGAGUAAAAGCAGAAAUGAAGCACCACUGGGUCAAAUUCCCUCAUGUGGAGAAGGCUUUGAUGCACUUUGUGGGGUCAUCUGAGACUAACAUGUUGAUGACGACCGAGGACAAGUGGGCAAGGUCUACACAGACUGUUGACGAACUGACCUUUGUGACGGUGUACAUAAGGACACGGGGAAGACUCUGCUUGUUGACUCUGAUUUCUGGACAUAACUUUAUUUUUCAGGACGCCCAGGAGGAUGCAGCGUGACGGUGUUGAUUUAUUGCAGGUUAUGGGAGUGUUGACUUAACGCCGAUUCUUAUGUGAUUCGUUAUUUAUGGAAAUAAUGUCAAUGUUUGGUGACCAUUGGCGACUUGGCCCUUCUCUGGAAGAUGAAGGCAGGAAUUCUGGAGUCCCGGCAUGAACAUCUUUUGCAGAGGUGUGAUUAAUUUAUUCAAGGACUUGUUUACAGGACUCGUCAGCUGGGCCUCUGCAACGGGGAGAUGACCUGUUUAAAUGUGGAUGGUGGUUUGUAUUCCUGUUGUUGUGUAUUUGCUGGGCGAGGAGCCUCUAGGAACUUGGCUGGAAUGCAUCCCACCCGUAACAUCUACGGCCGGCGGACCGGAGACAGCUGUCGAAGAAGGGCGCCGUGACCCGGAUAAAGUGGACACAUUGAUGCGUGAUGUAUCCCAACGGGAGGUUAGUAGUCCAAUUCUGAACUUUGAUUCAACACUAUACUGAUAUUGGAGGUUGCUAGUUUAUGCAGGUUCAUCACAGGAUGUUGGAUCAUUAGGGGAGCGUGCCAAGAAUCCACCGAAUUGGGUGAGGUAAGUCAGGAGGGCAGGGACAAGCCCAUGCCGCAAAGGGGGUGAGAAGCGGGAAAUUAGGAAAGCAGAGGGGUUGGGGCACCUGUUAAAUAAAUUGUAGAAAUGAUCAUAGUUUGGCUUAGCUCGCAUUCAUAUUAUGGACAAUUUCGAUGGAAAGAAUUGCGCGACAAAGAAGUCUGCGGAAGAAUAAACCUAGGGUAAUACUCGUCACUGGCAAGUCAAAUUUCGUGUUUCCGGGGGUUUGUAAAUACGUUACUAGUAUCGUGUGAAUGUGUAGAAGUAUGAAUGUAUACGACCGGAUUGCAAAUUACCACUGGGUUCGGAAGCAGGUGCGAGAAUCCUCCGCCCCGUGUGGGGAGAAGUUUGAGGAGUACCAAAGCCCGGACAUUCAUUGUCACCCUGUCAUUUUGAAUAAAGUCAGUAUUUAGGUCACUCUCGGCGCAAAUAAACUGACUUCCAAAUUCACAAAAUAAGGAAAAAUAACAGUCAAACGGAUUCGAAAGAACGCUUAACGUGUAAAGACUGGAAAUAUGUUCAACUCCAAACCCCUUACAAAAUGAAACAUUUCAGCACACGGAUAACCAAAUACGAUGUCGCGGGCCAGCUAAAUUCGAAAAAUUGGUUCAACGUCGAGACGAAAUCAAAGUCGACAUAAAAAUCAUAGAAAAAAGAGGGAUAGGACGACGUCGUUGUCUGGCUAAACAUGGUGUCUAAAAUAGAAAAAGGAAGUCAGAAAAAGAAGGACUUAGAAAAUGGACGGAAAAGGCCUUCAGUGACAUGAAACAACAUUUGGUGUCCAGUAACGCGCUGGCCCUUCCAAAUGAUGAUGAAACAUUCAUUCAAAUGGUAGAGUGGGAAAGCUAUGACGUGACCUCCGACCUUACGCAACAACGCGGUGAUCAACUAAGACCAAGAGCUUAUUUGUCGACUAAGUUAGACAGCGUGACGUGAGAGUGGCCGGCACGGUGGCCGACCGGUUAGAGCGUCUGCCUCACAGUUCCGAGGACCGGGGUUCAGACGUGGUGAUGGAAGUUCGCUCAUUUUCUUGGCUCAGAUUCCUUCAUGCAACAAAAGAAUAUCCAGCGGUGGUGGUACGCGUAGGAGUCAUGUCCGCAGGGGUUUGGAGGCAUACAGCGAUGCAAGGGGGGUAUUAUCACUUCCGGAUGAAGCAACUGCCGCGACCGUGUCUGCCUCACAUGUGUAGAACUGACUGCCCUCCGUAUGUUGGACUGUUAGAUAUCCAUUUGGAAAUGGCUUGGAUGAAGGUUGAUUUGGGUGCAAAAUACUGGCAGAUGCUUUUGUUCUUCCAGGGGUGGUCUGGAGCUGUUCGGGGUCCCGCGUGGAUAAACCUGGACUCUGGGACCAUUUCAUGGACCGUGAUUACGGACAGCAGUUUCUUCAUCAAUGACACGAGCUGUAGACCAUAUGGAGGGAGACCACCUUUAGGAUUUGUAUUUUGAUUUUGAUAUGUGUGCUUCCACAGUUGUUUUUUGUGUUUUACGCUGUUUUUUGUUCAUUGAUUUCAAUGUUUGCAUUAUUCUGUUGUGUAUGGUUUGCCAUCCGAGUCAGGGUCCCUUCGGGUGUUUUGAUGUACGGGGCUCCGAAGGACACUUGAUCUGACCCUCGCUCUUUUCCUCGUCUCGUUCGAGAGAGGUUUUUCGACCGAGAGCCGCGAAACCUUGGCGCUUCCACGAGGCUGCGCGUGCAAAUUGAUACAUUUGGGAUUGGCUCCUUUUUGAUAGCGGGGAGGAGAUUCGGGUCGUUUGGCUGUUUGGUCCGCACGUGUGGCCUCAGGGGGCGACGAGGGGACGGAUGGAUGGAUGGAUGAUAAUAUGACAGUAAGGGUUUAUCAUAUAAAAUAAACAAUCUUAAAAAUAACUAAAAUGCAAAGGAGUAGAAAUAGUUCAAAGGAUGAAAUCAUAAAACAAGUAUUCCCUUUUGAGUGAGCUUUAAGGAGUGAUCAAGUCCCACGGAGCCAUAAUGCCAAUUAAUAAUAAGAUCAUUUGGAAUAUAAGAAUCCCUGGACAGCUGACUAGCUCUCUUCCCUAUCCACGCAAUGUCAAUGGCGGUUCUGUUCGUUACCUUAUUAUUAUAAUCUUUUAGUCUUACCCAAUUACGGAGGAAAAUUCAAAGAUGAAGUACUAUGCAAGUAGCCUGUUGAAUUCCUCCUGCCAGCAUGUCCCUUAUCAUUGCGAGAGAAAAGAGCGUGUGUCUCCCUAUCUCGAGAGAAUAAGGAGCCCCGUUUAUCAUCGGGUGAGGCUUUUAUAACCUUGCUUUUCGGAAACUCCCUUUCCCAAAAUAAUCCUUUUGUUUACAUAUUCUGACACGCCCUCCUCGCUAUUAUUUUUUAUUACCACUUCAGAGUGUCCUGACGUGACCCGAGUGGGAAUAUCUUUCACUUUCACUUUCAGCCUUAUCCUGACUUGACCUCUGAUUUGCUCACCCAAAUAGCUUUCUCAGUCAAUACGUUCGAGCACAUUUCACAUGUCUUGAACUCAACCAAUACAUUUCAUCGCACCAUGUUCAUCUCUAAGCAAUCUGCAAUACAUGUGUAUAUGUUAAAUGUCAAAUAAAUGUAUAUACAUUCAUGUGAAUACAAUUCUCUCAUGCAUUCAA